Molecule: ribosomal RNA, 732 nt
Filed under: uncultured bacterium
Lineage: Bacteria
Description: bacterial SSU rRNA
Rfam family: Bacterial small subunit ribosomal RNA
Source: RNAcentral
CGCUAGCGGCAGGCCUAAUACAUGCAAGUCGAGGGGCAGCGCGGUAGCAAUACUGGCGGCGACGGGCGCACGGGUGCGUAACGCGUAUGGAACUUGCCCUUUACUAGGGGAUAGCCCGGAGAAAUUCGGAUUAAUACCUUAUAGUAUGGUUGACUGGCAUCAGUUGACUAUUAAAGAUUUAUCGGUAAAGGAUAGCCAUGCGUAUGAUUAGCUAGUUGGCGGGGUAAUGGCCCACCAAGGCGAUGAUCAUUAGGGGGUCUGAGAGGAUGAUCCCCCACACUGGUACUGAGAUACGGACCAGACUCCUACGGGAGGCAGCAGUAGGGAAUAUUGGACAAUGGGCGAGAGCCUGAUCCAGCCAUGCCGCGUGCAGGAAGAAGGCCCUCUGGGUUGUAAACUGCUUUUGACAGGGGCCAAAAUACUCAUGCGUGAGGAAUUGAGAGUACCUGUAGAAUAAGCACCGGCUAACUCCGUGCCAGCAGCCGCGGUAAUACGGAGGGUGCAAGCGUUGUCCGGAUUUAUUGGGUUUAAAGGGUGCGUAGGUGGCCUUAUAAGUCAGUGGUGAAAGCCUGCAGCUUAACUGUAGGACUGCCAUUGAUACUGUAGGGCUUGAGUACUGAUGAGGUAGGCGGAAUUGAUAGUGUAGCGGUGAAAUGCAUAGAUAUUAUCAAGAACACCGAUUGCGAAGGCAGCUUACUAAGGAGUUACUGACACUGAGGCACGAAAGCGUGG